UAUAGCGAAAGCUAGUUGCAUUAACUAACUGUUAAUGCAGCAGCGACUAUGUCGUGUAAAGUUCAGGGUAGAGUUAUGAUAAUGACAUUCCCUACCUGUGUGUNUCGACCAAAUUACGUGCCAGCAGUCGCGGUAAUACGUUGGAGACUAGUGUUAGUCGUCUUUAGUAGGUUUAAAGGGUACCUAGACGGUUAUUUCAGCCCCCAAAGGGUACUGUUUAGACUAGAGUUUUAUGAGAGGGGGGGUGUACUAAUGGUGUAGAGAUGAAAUUCUGUCAUACCAUUAAGACAGGCAACAGCGAAGGCAACCCUUUAUGUAUAAACUGACGUUGAAGGACGAAGGCUUGGUCCACCAAUAGGAUUAGAUACCCUAGCAGCCUAAGCAGACAAUGAUGAAUGCCAUAGACUAAAAAAUAUGUACUGACAAAUUUGUGUUUGCGUUUGCAACCAGUCAGUCGUUCGAUGAUGGUAGCAAUAAAAAGAAAGAAAAAAGAUUAAAAUAAUUUCUUUUUUUUAUUUUUUAUUAUUGCUAUAGAGGUUAUAUAUUACUCGUAAGAGUGUAAUAAUAAUCUUUAAAUUAUACGAAUUCUAUUGUGUAUGUUUUUUUUUGUCUAUAAAUGAAAGUGUAAGCAUUCCACCUCAAGAGUAACGUGGCAACGCGGAAACUGAAAUCAUUAGACCGUUUCUGAAACCAGUAGUGAAGUAUGUUGUUUAAUUAGAUGAUCCGCAAAACACCUUACCACAAUUUGUAUGUUUAGAGAUAAAUACAAGAGUUGCACGGCUGUCUUCAGUUAAUGUCGUGAGAUUUUGGUUAGUUCCAUUAAAUUAACGUAAACCCUUACUUUAUUUUAGUAAAUAGAGUAGUUCACCGCUAUACUGGAUAUGAUAAAAGGGACUAAGACAAGUCAUCAUGGCCUGAAUAUUGUGGGCUAUA
RNAcentral lists this ribosomal RNA (933 nucleotides) under Ochrolechia subplicans subsp. hultenii. Its description in RNAcentral is "partial small subunit ribosomal RNA". It matches the Rfam family "Bacterial small subunit ribosomal RNA", at positions 371 to 1218 of the family's 1533-position model. Lineage: Eukaryota; Fungi; Ascomycota; Lecanoromycetes; Pertusariales; Ochrolechiaceae. The record is from RNAcentral.